RNAcentral lists this small RNA (387 nucleotides) under Pongo abelii (Sumatran orangutan). Its description in RNAcentral is "processed transcript". The record is from RNAcentral. Lineage: Eukaryota; Metazoa; Chordata; Mammalia; Primates; Hominidae.
CAACCACUUUUCUACUUUUAUCACCAUGCUUAGCUUUGCCAGUAUUAGAACAUUAUCUAAUCACAUAGUGUGAACUCUUGUGUGCUUCGUUUUUGGUUUGUUUUGCCCUCACUAAAAAUAAUAGAUAGGAUAUCUUAAGGAGUUUGCCUAGAAGUAUUUCACUGUGAUCAGAUUUUAUUAAGACCUCUACUGGAAAAGAAACAGUAAAUGCCACCUUCCCGGUAGCUAUAGUAAUGCUGCGGGCCAUUAGAGAUUUCUUCUGGAAAACUGGAAACAAGAUAGGGUUUAAACCAGCAGGAGGCAUCCGCAGUGCAAAGGAUUCCCUUGCUUGGCUCUCUCUUGUAAAGGAGGAGCUUGGAGAUGAGUGGCUGAAGCCAGAACUCUUUC